Molecule: ribosomal RNA, 466 nt
Filed under: uncultured bacterium
Lineage: Bacteria
Description: partial 16S ribosomal RNA
Rfam family: Bacterial small subunit ribosomal RNA
Source: RNAcentral
GACGAACGCUGGCGGCGCGCCUAACACAUGCAAGUCGAACGAGCGAGAGAGAUCUUGCUUUCUCGAUCGAGUGGCGAACGGGUGAGUAACGCGUGAGGAACCUGCCUCAAGGAGGGGGACAACAGUUGGAAACGACGGCUAAUACCGCAUAAGCCCACGACCCGGCAUCGGUGAGAGGGAAAAGGAGCAAUCCGCUUUGAGAUGGCCGCGCGGCCGAUUAGCUAGUUGGUGAGGUAACGGCCCACCAAGGCGACGAUCGGUAGCCGGACUGAGAGGUUGAACGGCCACAUUGGGACUGAGGCACGGCCCAGACUCGUACGGGAGGCAGCAGUGGGGAAUACUGCACCAUGGGGGAAACCCUGAUGCAGCGACGCCGCGUGGAGGAAGCAGGUCUUAGGAGUGUAGAAUCCUGUUGUUGAGGAAGAUAAUGACGGUACUCAACAAGGAAGAGACGGCUAACUACGUG